UUAAGUAGAGGUGCGUUGAUUAAUAGUAGUGCAUGGGAGACCGGAAGUCAGCGAUCAUGCAUGAAAGGAUGAUACGCCGAAGCAGAAGAGUCAAAUCAUCUGCUGGGGACAUGUUUAACAGACAUGUCACUGUCCUUUUUA
This 141-nucleotide non-coding RNA is filed under the name uncultured Merdibacter sp. Its description in RNAcentral is "Lysine riboswitch". It matches the Rfam family "Lysine riboswitch aptamer", at positions 4 to 154 of the family's 182-position model. Rfam says of the family: Riboswitches are metabolite binding domains within certain messenger RNAs that serve as precision sensors for their corresponding targets. Allosteric rearrangement of mRNA structure is mediated by ligand binding, and this results in modulation of gene expression. The record is from RNAcentral. Lineage: Bacteria; Bacillati; Bacillota; Erysipelotrichia; Erysipelotrichales; Erysipelotrichaceae.